AGCAGCCGCGGUAAUUCCAGCUCCAAUAGCGUAUAUUAAAGUUGUUGCAGUUAAAAAGCUCGUAGUUGAAUUUCGGGAUCAGAUUGUCGGUCGUGCCUCGGUACGCACUGGCAUUAUUGGUUCCUACCUUCUGAAGAACCGCGAUGUCAUUAAUUUGGUGUCGUGGGGAAUCAGGACUGUUACUUUGAAAAAUUAGAGUGUUUAAAGCAGGCGCACGCUUGAAUACAUUAGCAUGGAAUAAUGAAAUAGGACGUUUGAUUUUAUUUUGUUGGUUUCUAGGAUCGACGUAAUGAUUAAUAGGGUAGUUGGGGGCAUUAGUAUUCAAUUGUCAGAGGUGAAAUUCUUGGAUUUAUUGAAGACUAACUACUGCGAAAGCAUUUGCCAAGGAUGUUUUCAUUAAUCAAGAACGAAAGUUAGGGGAUCGAAGACGAUCAGAUACCGUCGUAGUCU
This 450-nucleotide ribosomal RNA is filed under the name uncultured Glomeromycotina. RNAcentral describes it as "SSU rRNA". It matches the Rfam family "Eukaryotic small subunit ribosomal RNA", at positions 569 to 1026 of the family's 1831-position model. The record is from RNAcentral. Lineage: Eukaryota; Fungi; Glomeromycota.